Molecule: ribosomal RNA, 395 nt
Filed under: uncultured Methanosaeta sp.
Lineage: Archaea; Methanobacteriati; Methanobacteriota; Methanomicrobia; Methanotrichales; Methanotrichaceae
Description: bacterial SSU rRNA
Rfam family: Archaeal small subunit ribosomal RNA
Source: RNAcentral
CAAUAUGAAGGUCAGGCUGAAGACUUACCCGAUUAGCUGAGAGGUGGUGCAUGGCCGUCGUCAGUUCGUACUGUGAAGCAUCCUGUUAAGUCAGGCAACGAGCGAGACCCACGUCCACAGUUGCCAGCAUACCCUCCGGGGUGAUGGGUACACUGUGGAGACCGCCGCUGCUAAAGCGGAGGAAGGAGUGGGCAACGGUAGGUCAGUAUGCCCCGAAUCUCCCGAGCUACACGCGGGCUACAAUGGUUGGUACAAUGGGCAUCUACCCCGAAAGGGGAAGGAAAUCUCUUAAAGCCAAUCGUAGUUCGGAUUGAGGGCUGCAACUCGCCCUCAUGAAGCUGGAAUCCGUAGUAAUCGCGUUUCAACAGAACGCGGUGAAUACGUCCCUGCUCCUU